RNAcentral lists this long non-coding RNA (1512 nucleotides) under Vigna radiata. RNAcentral's name for it is "long non-coding RNA (VRAD_LNC001300)". The record is from RNAcentral. Lineage: Eukaryota; Viridiplantae; Streptophyta; Magnoliopsida; Fabales; Fabaceae.
AAAGAGCUUGAAAUGUUGAGAACGGUUUUGAGCCGUCCGAUGGAGGGUUCUCGUUGACCGUUGACUUGAUCUUGUCGAUCUUUGACUCCGAGAAUUUGAAUAUCCUUUCCCUAAGAGUUGGAGUGGGCUUUGCAUCACCGUUGGAAGUUGGUUGGCCGUUGGGCUCCGGCAGGGAGAGGUCCAGCUUCACUCUCGUGUUCCGGGCCUUGGUCCGGUCCAGGAACGGUGGUGCUGACGUGGAGGGUGACCCAUUGCAAAUCUCGGCCCACGAUGUCAUGAAUUGCCACGUGGCAGUCCCAUCCAAUACAGCAUGGUUGAAUGCCAGGCCCAUCGCAAGCCCAUCUUUCAGCUUCGUUAACUAUGGAUAAAAUAAAAAUACUCGAAAUGAAAACAAAAAUCGAAAAAAUAUUAUAAUUAUAUUGCAUUGGGAGUAAAUGUGAUAGGUAAUGAGUGGGGUGGACUAUAAUGGCAGAACGUGGAGGUUUAAAGUGUUUCUCAGAAAAUUAACAAUAAAUUGUUCACCUACACUUGUGGAUAAUGAUGAUAUAUACUUAUUAUUUAUCAAAACAUAUUUAAUUUCAACUGUUAGAUUGAUUUUAGUUUAAUUAUGCAGUCACUCAUAUUAAUUAGAGGAUGUACAAUGGAUGGUUUCAUUAGACUCUAAGGUUUAAUUCUACUUUUAAGUAGGGUCUAUAAUGUCACAUGCCAUUUUCAAAUCAUUAUUGUAGGUCUCACAAGUGUUUUUUUUUUUUUUUUCUAAAAAAUGAAACUUUGUAAAACCCAUAUAUUUUUUAAUCUUUUCAUUUUCAGUAUUUUGUAGAAGACUUAAAUUUUGCAGAUUACAGUAAAACAAGGUUUUAAGAAAAAUGAAAGACCUAUACAACAUCUAUAGAUUACAUUUCAGAUUCAGUAAAAAUGGUAGCUUAUACUGUGAUCAAUGAAGUAUAAAGUAGAAUGAUUUGAUGAAGAAGAUAACGAAAUGAACAUGCAUGAAGGAAAUGAAUGAAAUUACCUGAACUGCGAGCAAGGGUCUAUGCAUGCCUUCCAAGUUCAAGACAGCAGUGUAAGGUAUGAGGUCCUUGAGAUUGGUGGAACUUUCAGCAACAGUAAGUUGAUCCACAGCAAUCUCAUCAGCAACAGCUUCAACAACCUCCACACCAAGCAUGUCAUCAUCAUACUCAACCCUGAACACACCCUCUUCAUCUUUCCCUAACUUUCCAGCUAGUUGGUGGAACUCCUUGAGAACCACACCAAGCCCAAGCUUCAGCUUCUGAACCAUGCCAUCAAAGUCUUCCCCUUUGUAGAACAGUAGCUUCUGGUUGUAGUAGAAGGCCAAGUAUGGAAGAUCAAAAGUCACCAACUGGUACUCUUUUCUCCCAAUCUUCUCCUCAGGUUGCACAUAACUCUUGUUGGUGAUUUUCAGGUUCAGAGAUUCUUCCUUCUUCACCACCUCACCUGCCAUUUUUUUUUUUCUUUUUCUGAGUUAGACAGAAACUUUGAAUUGAAUUUGAG